RNAcentral lists this ribosomal RNA (300 nucleotides) under uncultured Lactobacillus sp. Its description in RNAcentral is "bacterial SSU rRNA". It matches the Rfam family "Bacterial small subunit ribosomal RNA", at positions 496 to 795 of the family's 1533-position model. Lineage: Bacteria; Bacillati; Bacillota; Bacilli; Lactobacillales; Lactobacillaceae. The record is from RNAcentral.
GACAACUACGGGCCAGGAGCCGCAGUAAUGCGUAGGGGGGAAGCGUGGUCCGGAAUUAUGGGGCGGAAAGCGCGCGCAGGCGGUUCCUUAAGGCUGAUGUGAAAGCCCCCGGCUCAACCGGGGAGGGUCAUUGGAAACUGGGGAACUUGAGUACUGAAGAGGAAAGCGGAAUUCCACGUGUAGCGGUGAAAUGCGUAGAGAUGUGGAGGAACACCAGUGGCGAAGGCGGCUUUCUGGUCAGUAACUGACGCUGAGGCGCGAAAGCGUGGGGAGCAAACAGGAUUAGAUACCCGGGUAGUC